GCUGGGCGGGGUGGUGCAUGCCUGUAAUCCCAGCAGCUCUGGAGGCUGAGGCAGGAGGAUGGCUAGUUGAAAGCCAGCCUCAGCAACUUAUCGAGGCCCUAAGCAACUUAUCAAGACCCUGUCUCUA
Molecule: small RNA, 127 nt
Filed under: Marmota monax (woodchuck)
Lineage: Eukaryota; Metazoa; Chordata; Mammalia; Rodentia; Sciuridae
Source: RNAcentral